GUUUGCUGAUGAAAGAGGCAGCAUUGCAUAUUUGUGGUGGCUUAAAAAAAAAAAAGAGAAAAGAGAAAAAAGCGCCCAAAAAUAGCUUCCAUACACAGUCCACCCCAACGUAAAAAUGCAGAAGUUCAGAGGGAGCUUUAUCACUUCCUGAGAAAGAACAGAUGCAGUUUGGUUUCAUUUACAUGAACUAUAGAGGCUCCUUGUCUUAACCAGGCAGCCUUUUUUUUUUAUUUAUUUAUUUUUAAUUCCUUUCUUUUUUUUUUCCCUAAAUAUUUUUCGUGUUUAGGCAGAGGAUCAAGUUGAAGCAUUUCACUCCGCUCGUGAGGAAGCAGCAUCCUUGAAGAGCAAGUUGGAGGAAGCCAUUUCUGAGCAGCAAAGGCUCAGGGAUGUGAGUGCAGCUUUAACAAGCACUUGCCAGUUGCUUCAGGAAAAGGUGGAACACCAGAGAACAACUGCUAAUGCACUGAGAUGGGAACUGCUUCAGAGGAGACUCUGCGAGUUGGUGUGUCAGUGCUGUGCAGAGUUAGAAUCUGUCUAUGGUCUGCUGCCCACCUCAGCUGAACCUACAAAAGGGAAGGUAAGUGUUCUUUCUAUGACCAUUGCUGAGCUCUUAAAGUGUUUGGGCUUUUUCUUCA
This 635-nucleotide long non-coding RNA is filed under the name Manacus vitellinus (golden-collared manakin). Its description in RNAcentral is "lncRNA (ENSMVIG00005019927.1)". Lineage: Eukaryota; Metazoa; Chordata; Aves; Passeriformes; Pipridae. The record is from RNAcentral.